GGCGCGGUAGCCAAGUGGCAAGGCAGUGCUCUGCAAAAGCACUAUACGUGGGUUCGAUUCCCGCCCGCGCCU
This 72-nucleotide transfer RNA is filed under the name bacterium. RNAcentral describes it as "tRNA-Cys". It matches the Rfam family "tRNA". From Rfam's summary of the family: Transfer RNA (tRNA) molecules are approximately 80 nucleotides in length. RNAcentral also lists the same sequence under 1 other name. The record is from RNAcentral.